RNAcentral lists this ribosomal RNA (462 nucleotides) under Acanthamoeba jacobsi. RNAcentral describes it as "SSU rRNA". It matches the Rfam family "Eukaryotic small subunit ribosomal RNA", at positions 740 to 1097 of the family's 1831-position model. Lineage: Eukaryota; Discosea; Longamoebia; Acanthamoebidae. The record is from RNAcentral.
GGCCCAGAUCGUUUACCGUGAAAAAAUUAGAGUGUUCAAAGCAGGCAGACCAUUCUUCUGCCACCGAAUACAUUAGCAUGGGAUAAUGGAAUAGGACCCUGUCCUCCUAUUUUGCGUGUUGGUUUUCGAGGACCGGGUAAUGAUUAAUAGGGAUAGUUGGGGGCAUUAAUAUUUAAUUGUCAGAGGUGAAAUUCUUGGAUUUAUGAAAGAUUGACUUCUGCGAAAGCAUCUGCCAAGGAUGUUUUCAUUAAUCAAGAACGAAAGUUAGGGGAUCGAAGACGAUCAGAUACCGUCGUAGUCUUAACCAUAAACGAUGCCGACCAGCGAUUAGGAGACGUUGAAUACAAAACACCACCGUCGGGUCGGCCGUCCUUGGCCGUCGUGCGCGGCGACGCGCGCGGCGGCGAGGGCGGUGUCUGCCCGACGGCCCGGUGAAUGACUCCCCUAGCAGCUUGUGAGAAA